RNAcentral lists this ribosomal RNA (346 nucleotides) under uncultured Peredibacter sp. RNAcentral's name for it is "bacterial SSU rRNA". It matches the Rfam family "Bacterial small subunit ribosomal RNA", at positions 1014 to 1360 of the family's 1533-position model. Lineage: Bacteria; Pseudomonadati; Bdellovibrionota; Bacteriovoracia; Bacteriovoracales; Bacteriovoracaceae. The record is from RNAcentral.
UGCCCGCAAGGAAAUGUAGUGAGAGGUGCUGCAUGGCUGUCGUCGGCUCGUGUUGUGAAAUGUUGGGUUAAGUCUCGCAACGAGCGCAACCCCUAUCGUCUGUUGCCAGCAUUAAGUUGGGCACUCUGACGAGACUGCCUGGGUUAACCAGGAGGAAGGUGGGGAUGACGUCAAGUCCUCAUGGCCCUUAUGUCUAGGGCUACACACGUAAUACAAUGGCGCGUACAGAGGGAAGCGAACUCGCAAGGGGGAGCAAGUCUCAAGAAGCGCGCCUCAGUUCGGAUUGGAGUCUGCAACUCGACUCCAUGAAGUUGGAAUCGCUAGUAAUCGGAGAUCAGCACGCUCC